Molecule: ribosomal RNA, 693 nt
Filed under: Motyxia tularea ollae
Lineage: Eukaryota; Metazoa; Arthropoda; Diplopoda; Polydesmida; Xystodesmidae
Description: partial large subunit ribosomal RNA
Source: RNAcentral
UAUGUUAUAGAUGGUUAUUGUUGUUAUUUUAAUAUAUUUGAUUGGUAUUAUGAGUGAUUUUUGUAGGGUUUCGAUAGUUUAUGAGGUACUGUUAAGGAAUUAUUUAUUUUUUAUUAAAUUUAGGUUGUUUGAUACCUUUUGUAUUAGGGUUCUUUUAUGUUAAUAUGUAUUGAUAGUUUCUCGAUAAAUAUCGGGCUAUUUUGUUAGUUUAGAUCUCGUUGUAUAGAGUCUUUUAUGGUAAAAUAGUUAUGAAAUAUUAUUCAAGUUAUUUUGUAUCUGGUUUUCUCAGAGGUAUAAUGUGGUGUGUGUUUAUGUUGGAAUUGUGCAGGGAUUAGCUUGUAUAUUGUUUAUAUAAUAUUUUUGUUGUUAUUUAUUUGUGAUGUUGAAAGUUCUUGUUUUUAUGGUGUUAUUACUGAAUAAGUUUUGUUUAUUAUUUUUUUUAUUUAUGUUGUUAUUGGGGAUAUUGCGUUAAUUUUAGUUGCAUGGUUAUAAUGAUGAUAUUAGUAAUUUUGUUAUUUAUUUUUUUUAUUGAUUUGAAUUUGGUCUGGGGUGAGUUAUAGAUAUUGAUUAGUAGUAAAGAAUUCGGCAAAGAUUGACUUUUGACUGUUUAGCAAAAACAUUGUUUUUUGUUUAAAUAAGAAGUAAUUUCUGCCCACUGCUGUUAUGGUAAAGGGCUGCAGUAUUUUGACUGUA